GAAGAAAGGGAACAUGGCUCAGGGUUGAUUUAUGGGCACAGGGUUUGAGUAGGAUGCAGGGAGCCCCACCCUAGGCCCACAGUGUUGGAGCAAAGGACUUUACUACAACUUGGAGGAAGAGGUCAUUGUACACCUUGAAGCCAGAGAGCUGGAAGCCAGUUGCAGAGCAGCUGCCCAGGUCAGAAGGCGGGAGUACAGGAUGGAGAGUUGAGGGCAGGGGCAAAGAGGAGGUGUCCUGCACAGAGAAAGGACUUCAGGCAUUUGACACUGGCUUGAGACAUUGAAGAUGAUCACAGGGUAGGUCUUGUGAGAUGGGUGGGCUGAAACAUGAUGAAUGCACAACAAAAUAGUUUGAGUCCAUGCCUCUUUAAUUCCAUACAUUUGUGAGUGUCAGUUCUGG
Molecule: non-coding RNA, 400 nt
Organism: Heterocephalus glaber (naked mole-rat)
Lineage: Eukaryota; Metazoa; Chordata; Mammalia; Rodentia; Bathyergidae
Source: RefSeq, a predicted model, not a curated record